Molecule: long non-coding RNA, 1709 nt
Organism: Tachyglossus aculeatus (Australian echidna)
Lineage: Eukaryota; Metazoa; Chordata; Mammalia; Monotremata; Tachyglossidae
Exons: 3
Source: RefSeq, a predicted model, not a curated record
GCCAUGUUUCACUCUAUUCAUGUCCUCUGUGGUGAAUUUUCUCGUACUGCCGAUUGGACCUUACGUUACAUUCAGCAUGCGUCACUUCAUGUACCAACUGUGUACGUGCCAUUCCGCCUGUGUACCUCAGCUUUAAUGUCUCACAGAUUGGAUGCUUCUUAAGAGCAGGGUCCAUUUAUGUUAUGUACUCUUCGAAACGUCUGUACUGCCUUUUCCAAUGUCCAUGCUUCCGUGUCUAGGCUUGUUUUGGGUAGGGCUGGUGUCUGUUAAAUCUGUAUAAUGUAUGCUCCCCAGGGCUUAGUACAGUGCUCUGCACACAGUAGGAGGUCAAAUCCUGUCAACUGACAGACCGAGUGACAUAGAUUGUGAACUCCCAGUGGGCAGGUACUGCGUCUUCGACACCUAGUUGGCCAAAGAGGCCGGGGUGUGGUGUCUCUCAAGUCCGACCAGACUUGGAGCAGGGGAGAGGAACAAGCCUGAAGGAUCAGAUUGGGGCUGGAUAAGGCUCAUCUCCUCCAUGAGCCCUUCCCUGAUUCAGUCCUUCUUUCCUUUUUUUCAGCUGUCUUCUGCAUGGCCCUAACUUACAGCCUUUAUUCAUCCCUCUUCCCAGCCUCACAGCACUUCUGUACAUAUCCGUGGUUUUAUUUCUUUAUGCUAAUGCCUGUUUCCCCUCUAGUCAGUAAUUUUCAGGGCCUUGGCUGCAUGAGGAGAAAAUGGAGAAGCCCAACUUAUUUCUGCCUCCCUGGAGAAGCUUUCCAGACCAGCCCUUUCAGAGGACCAGUGCAGGAGCCUGAGCCCCUGAUGCGUCACGGGAGACCUGGCCCCCUCAUCCAUCCCUACCUCUCCGAGGACGUCGGGGUGCGGACAGACAGGAAGGAAGCCGCGGCGCUGACCUGAACCGGACCUUCGGACCCCUGGACGACGGAGGACCGGCCGGCCACUCUCGGGAUGCCACCAGCACCGCACCGGCCCGCCCGUGAGGGCGUCGGUUGGCACCGAGCUGCCCCCCCCCAUGGCCACUCUAUCCCACCCCCAUACCACGAUUGUAUCCCCUUCCUGCAGACAAUGCCAUUUCCUUUGGGUAGGGGUCAAGGGUCAAACACUGCAUCAAGGGUUCCACACGCAUCUCUGGCAAUUCCUGGAAGUGAUGGAUGUUCUUGUGACUGUGGUGUGAGAACGAGUGUCGGGACCAGAUCAGGGUGAGGGGGCCGCCCCUCUUUGGACGGGGUGACGGGUUCUGGAAACAGGGGCCAAGGGUUCGGGACAGGUGCUCUGACGAUGGACCUCCAGACUUGGGGUGAAGCUGCCUGGGGCCCUUAAUUCUGUAGACAGAGCGGCUUCCUCCGGGUCCGUCCAUCUGAAGUGAUCUGCCCCUGCUCUGGCUUCAAGAGUACAGACUCGCCUGCCCGCCCGAGGGGGGUGCCCCAGGGGGAGCGGGGUCCAGGGACAGAAAUAGUCGGGGGUGUGUGUGUACCUGCGUGGAUGUGUGUGCGACUGCUGUGUGUCAUCCAUCUCUCCUGGAGGAGCCGAAUGACGGGAGGGGAGCAUCAGUAGCAAAGUGGGAAGGUGCAAAGUGGUUUCCCGUGGCACGCUACCCAAAGAAAUGGCACAGUCUGGCCCCCUCCUUCCCUCUUCCUGUCCCCUUGGCAGCUUGGCCUCUGUCAGGCCACAUGUGUCUGUAUGGAAUAAAAUGUCUGUGUGUUGCAUCA